RNAcentral lists this long non-coding RNA (1402 nucleotides) under Neogobius melanostomus (round goby). RNAcentral's name for it is "lncRNA (ENSNMLG00000026329.1)". The record is from RNAcentral. Lineage: Eukaryota; Metazoa; Chordata; Actinopteri; Gobiiformes; Gobiidae.
CUCCAUGUAAACAAUCUUUUAUAGACAGUCAUGAACCAUUCGGUGUCAGUCCGUGUUGUACGUGCAUUGAACUCGUUUUACACAAUAUGCAAUUCAAUGACGAAUGCAUGACAAUACCAUUAACGAUAACUUGGAUAAAAUGGAGAGUAUCCAACAUCUAUAGCAAUCAAAACAACAGAUCGUCGUCAUGGAUGGUUAGCUGUGGUAGCUAACGCUAACUCAGCUAGUUAGCCUGCUACAGACAGAGCUACCGCCUGUUAUUAUGGUACCGUCCCCGGGGUUGGUAGAUGGAUCAGAAAAUCACAAUUAACACAAACACUAUAGCAGAAUCUGUAAGUGGAUACAGACGGGUAAAUGCAGAAGCUACAAACAGCAGCGGAGGUAGAAAUGCUCAUAAUCCAUUUUGAACAAUAAUCGCUUUGAGGGAAAUGUGAUGAAGCUUACCUCUGGUCAGAUCCAGCGGUACAUUUUCUUCCCCGCUGUCAUUCCGACCUGUCAAUCACACAAGCUUCAGGCACCAGCACAGAAGAAACUACUGACACUAAGAGCAAGACUCCGGAUAGGACGGCCGCGGAAGCUGGCCGCCAUGUUUCCAGGAACAUACACAACACCGGAAACUUCGAAGCUUCUCGCGUGAAUAUGAGCAGACGAUUGAUGACAGAACUUCAUUUCCCAUCAUCCAUUCAUGGUCAAGAUUUUGUGUCUCCCCUAUGUGCAGCAUGGAUGUACAUCAUUAUGGUGUACAGGGUUACAUUAUGCACAAUAUCAAGUGGUGUUUUUGUUUCCUUUUUUUCGCCUUUAAAGUUUCAUAAUGCACCUUUAAGUAGCUAAAAAAAAAGUCCCUCUAUCUUAAGUAAAAACUUAAUCCACACUAGUAUUUGUUUAAUAUUUUUGUCACCAGUGAUGCCAGUAACGAAUUACUGUAAUCUGAUUACUUUUUUCAGUAACUAGUAAUCUAACGUGUUACUAUUUCCAAACAAGUAAUUAGAUUUAAGUUACUUUUCCAAAUCACUGUGAGUUACUAUUUUGUCAUUUUCCUACAUUUACUUUUGCAUCUCGGCGAGUGCCGUAUCAUAAUGUGACAAGUCACGUUUUCAUCCUAAAGAGAGAUGAAAAAACAUAACUUUUCUGAGUCUGCGUCAGCUUUAUGCACUUCCAAUAAAGUGAGUGUUGGUAAAAGGGUUUGUCAUUAGUGUGUUGUGACGGUGGAGAUGUUGUCAGCCACCGCUGAAUGUACGUAACUAAUAAAGUAACUUGUAAUCUAACUUAGUUACUUUUAAAAUCAAGUAAUCAGUAAAGUAACUAAGUUGUUUUUUAAAGGAGUAAUCAGUAAUUCAUUACUUUUUCCAAGUAAUCUGUGGCAACAGUUUGUCACAGAGUUGAACCAGGUGCAACACAGGCC